GACGCUUAUGCGUUGUUGGGUAGGGGAGCGUUCUGUAAGCCUGUGAAGGUGUGCUGUGAGGCAUGCUGGAGGUAUCAGAAGUGCGAAUGCUGACAUAAGUAACGAUAAAGCGGGUGAAAAGCCCGCUCGCCGGAAGACCAAGGGUUCCUGUCCAACGUUAAUCGGGGCAGGGUGAGUCGACCCCUAAGGCGAGGCCGAAAGGCGUAGUCGAUGGGAAACAGGUUAAUAUUCCUGUACUUGGUGUUACUGCGAAGGGGGGACGGAGAAGGCUAUGUUGGCCGGGCGACGGUUGUCCCGGUUUAAGCGUGUAGGCUGGUUUUCCAGGCAAAUCCGGAAAAUCAAGGCUGAGGCGUGAUGACGAGGCACUACGGUGCUGAAGCAACAAAUGCCCUGCUUCCAGGAAAAGCCUCUAAGCAUCAGGUAACAUCAAAUCGUACCCCAAACCGACACAGGUGGUCAGGUAGAGAAUACCAAGGCGCUUGAGAGAACUCGGGUGAAGGAACUAGGCAAAAUGGUGCCGUAACUUCGGGAGAAGG
Molecule: ribosomal RNA, 536 nt
Filed under: Escherichia coli
Lineage: Bacteria; Pseudomonadati; Pseudomonadota; Gammaproteobacteria; Enterobacterales; Enterobacteriaceae
Description: partial 23S ribosomal RNA
Rfam family: Bacterial large subunit ribosomal RNA
Source: RNAcentral